AAAUGAAGAGCCCAAGGACCUUUGCAACCCAACACCAGAAUGAUUACAAGAACGCGGCGUGUUCUGAACUCUGCUGGCCACAGACCUCACCUGCUGCCCGUGCUCCUCCUCCAGGGAGAAGGAACUUCUGUGAACAGCACUGUAGGAACUGCAGCUCUGACAGCAUCCAACAUAGCACGGCAUGUCUUUACUGUGCCAGUAAUUACCAAAAUGGAAAAAGAGAUUUUUCUGUCCCAAACCCUCAUGAUUUUACUUAUCUGAUUUUAAUUGUUUUGAAUAGGAACAAAGGGAAAUUAUAUCCUUAGGUGGGAACGUCUUCCAAUAGGAUUUCUCUAGACUGACAGCCAUAGCCAAGUUGCACUCAGAAGCAGAUAGGAAUCUGGGGUAGCUUUUGCAGAGCCUGUAUAAUACUUUUCUCUGAAGUGAAAUAUAUAAUAUAAUAUUUUUCUCUGUGAAAAGCAGCAUGUGCCUACUGGAGCUUCUGACAUCUCCUGUCACACAGGUGAUUACUGACUGGUGGUCUGAUGCUUCUGCCAUGUAAACCUGAUGUCAUCAAAGCUGGUGGACCCAGAGAUGAACCAAAGCUCCUGAGCCUGCCUGCCCUCUUGUCCCACUGCACGUGAGGCCCCUGAGCUGCCCAUGCUGUUGUGCCCAGUGCAAAGGCUGCAGGGAAAACACGGCCUGCCAGUGAGACUUGUUUAGGAGGAAGCUGUGGAGCCCAGCUCUGUGGAUGCUCUGCUGCACAACCAAGCCCACAUUGCAGAGUCUUCCUGAGUAUCUUCCAGGGUCUGAGCUCCACUGAGUGUUUGUCUUGGGUCUGUUCUGUUCAGCUCCUUCCCUGCACCUUCAGAGGCAAGCCUCUUCCCCAAAAUCCACUCUGUUUGGCAUUCCUCCUGCAGCCAAAGAGAGCUCCUUCAGCAGUGGGAUCUGCCCAAGAGGCAAUGG
This is a long non-coding RNA of Corapipo altera (White-ruffed manakin), 945 nucleotides long. RefSeq lists it as uncharacterized. The transcript is spliced from 4 exons. Lineage: Eukaryota; Metazoa; Chordata; Aves; Passeriformes; Pipridae. The record is from RefSeq and is a predicted model, not a curated record.